GGAGAGUUGCCAGUGGGAAGCGUUCGUAGACGGAUAGAUUUCUCUUAUCUUCCCGUAGUUGGGGCACAGGCUAUUAGUCUAUUUGAAAUACUUUGUAUAAUUGAAACUUAAUAUUCGUAGCGGGCCCUCAGCCAGCUAAACAUAUACUCUGAGGAUGCGUCGACAUCUGGCAGUCAUCUUACCCGAAGGACAAAUCUGCGUGUGCCGAGCCACGGGACAGAAAUCGUUGAAAUUUUUACCGUCGUGCCCCGUC
This 253-nucleotide unclassified non-coding RNA is filed under the name Bombus terrestris (buff-tailed bumblebee). RNAcentral's name for it is "misc RNA ENSBTSG00005031774.1". The record is from RNAcentral. Lineage: Eukaryota; Metazoa; Arthropoda; Insecta; Hymenoptera; Apidae.